AUUCAUAGCUGUAAAUAAAGCAGAAUAAGAUCAAAGAAAUGGUAGUUUUACGGAGUGGGAUUUGUUUAUUUGGCACAGGCUUCUUCAGAACACAGAAAAAUAACGUUUUAACCCAUAAGCUGCAGGUUUUAUUAUCAAGAUUAAUUGUGGUGAAAAACAGAUGCCAAGUAAAAUUCACAUGGAAGCACCAGGAACACUUGCUGAUGUAUGAUCAUUUGUUAUUUUAAUUCAAUAAGCAAAACAGAGCUGCAGAGGUUAGCUAGUGGGUUCUGGAUCUGAUUCUGACCAGGACAGUUCAUGCAUGGAGUUUUUGUGUUAGGGGACACUUCACUACCACUUUAAUACAAGGGGGAGCAGAGCCAGUGAAGCAACAGUCAUCCCAUAUGUGGCUGGUUGGUGCACACUAAAGACCCUACACCAAAGCACAUGAAGGGUAAUGUGGUCUAUGCUAUCAAGUGUAGUGAAGAGUGCUUGGAUCACAAAGACUAAGGGAGACAAAAUAAACACUCUGUAAGGGAAUGGCCCGACAAAGAAAGGUCAACACCUCAGGACAAGACUCAGCAGACUACAUCUCAAGGGAAAGGGACGCUCAUUUGAGGACAACAAUGUGCAAAUUUUGAUAGUUUCAAAGAGGCCAUGUAUGCCAAACUGGAAAACACAUCCCUGAACAGAGGAGGAGGAGCCCUGCAACACUGCUUGUCAUCAAUGUACAAUGCCGCUUUCACAUCCUUACCAUGGCGGCUUCACAACAAUUUACACUUCCAGUCAUAUAUGUUGAAAAAUUAACACCUGCCUCAAUGAUAAUCAUAGUACCAUUGUGACUUUCACUUUCAAUUAAAGUCCAGUUGCCUUUGACUUAAUUCUACUAGAUAAUGUAUAUCAUGACCUGGAUAAAUGAGAAUCUUCAUACAUUUGCUACUACUAUGAUGAGCAGUGACAUUAUUUACAUUUGUUACUAAAAAGAAUCCACCAAAAUGCCAUCUCAGUUACUACUAAGACUAUAUGAUAACAUUACAUAGCUAAUUUGGGCUGAGGAAAAACAACAGACAAGUUCAACCCCUCCCUAAGAUCCCCAGCGCAUGCAUACACACACCUAUACAUACAGUAGCAGUGGCGGAACUACGGGGGGAGCAGGGGGUGCGAGCGGGCCAUGGCCCGCACCCCCUCGGCAGCCCGUGCGCCACUGAAAAUGCGGCCGUACGGAGGGGGGCGGGGCCCAGCUGCGCGUAACGCACCAGGGCCCGUCCCCCUCUAGUGACGCUACUGUACAGUAGUUACAUAGUAGUUUAGGUUAAUUAAAGACAUUCCCAUGCAUUCACCUUUUGUCUAAAUGAAACCUGCCUAAUUCUUUCAGGAAAUACUUAGUUAAUUAACACAAGUAUUCAUUGUAAAAAUAUUUAACAUAAUGCACACUCAUGUUUAUCAUGAACAAAUGUCCCCAAAACCAUUAAAAUAACAAGAGUGCCAAUCACACCCUCUGAUGAUGUCACAGAUCCACCCACCAUCAUGAAAAAGAAACAUCAGUGUAAAACUGUUACAACUGGAUUUUGCAAAGGCACAUUAUUAUGUAUCUAAAGAUUCAAUAUAUUUCAUAUUUGUGUUUUAAUAGAAUAAGAAGUACACCAAUCCAUGAAUAUGAAAAUACUAGUGAAACUAGAUUGCAGAAAUAUUAAACUGAAGACAGCUUCCACAGUAAUCACCUCUUUUAGGUCACUCGUUCCACUCACUUGUAGAGUAAGAUUACUCAUUCACCCUGAUGCAGUUACUUACCAAAACAGCUCUGUAGGCCUUGGUCCUAUAAACAAGAUUGAGUCCUUUACAUGUAAAUCGUAGACACAAAAUUCCAUGUGUUGCCAGAUAGUUUGCCAAGGAUACCAGAUGGGGGAAAUUCAUGUCUCCUCCCGCUCCAUGUGUUAGUAUCACUCCAUGCUUUACAGAAUCCGAUGCUCCAGGAACAGAAAACACAGCAUCAAGGUACUUUUCGCCAAAUGGAAUUUUAAUCCUGUCCUACAGUACAUGUAAAGACAAUAAUACUGCUAAUUACUUGUAAAUUAUAUUUUACAUUUUAGCCUAAGAAAUCAAAGGGGAUCUGUUGCUAUCAUAAAAAAAAGUCUAUGGAACUUAAGUGGAUUUGAUCUAAUUGGGGCAGAUUUACUAAAGGGCAAAGCAGCCAUUGCUAGCGAAAAUUCGCCAGAAAUCCCUCUCGCAGGCACAUCAUCAAGCGGGUGAAUUUUCGCUCAGGCAAACGAUCGUUACUCCACAAAUUCACUAAAGUGCGAAUUUUACAGAACGUAACCUCUUUUGCCAGACUUUCCUUCUCCACCUUAGACCGGCGAACUGAUAAUAUGAAGCUACAUCCUCCUCAA
This is a long non-coding RNA of Xenopus laevis (African clawed frog), 2366 nucleotides long. RefSeq lists it as uncharacterized. The transcript has 3 exons. The record is from RefSeq and is a predicted model, not a curated record. Lineage: Eukaryota; Metazoa; Chordata; Amphibia; Anura; Pipidae.